RNAcentral lists this ribosomal RNA (547 nucleotides) under uncultured bacterium. Its description in RNAcentral is "bacterial SSU rRNA". It matches the Rfam family "Bacterial small subunit ribosomal RNA", at positions 63 to 636 of the family's 1533-position model. The record is from RNAcentral.
CGGGAUGAAGAUGCAAGUAUCUUAGCGGCGGACGGGUGAGUAACGCGUGAGAAACCUGCCUUUCACAAGGGGAUAGCCUCGGGAAACUGGGAUUAAUACCCUAUGAUACUUUUAAAUCGCAUGAUUUUUAAGUUAAAGCGUAAAGCGGUGAAAGAUGGUCUCGCGUCCCAUUAGUUAGUUGGUGAGGUAGAGGCUCACCAAGACAGCGAUGGGUAGCCGGCCUGAGAGGGUGAACGGCCACACUGGAACUGAGACACGGUCCAGACUCCUACGGGAGGCAGCAGUGGGGAAUAUUGCACAAUGGAGGAAACUCUGAUGCAGCGACGCCGCGUGAACGACGAAGGCCUUCGGGUCGUAAAGUUCUGUCCUUGGGGACGAUAAUGACGGUACCCAAGGAGGAAGCCCCGGCUAACUACGUGCCAGCAGCCGCGGUAAUACGUAGGGGGCGAGCGUUGUCCGGAAUUAUUGGGCGUAAAGGGUUCGCAGGCGGUUCCUUAAGUCAGAUGUUAAAUGCAUAGGCUCAACCUAUGAGUGCAUUUGAAACUGG